UCCGUAGGUGAACCUGCGGAAGGAUCAUUAGUGAAUAUUAGGACGUUCAAUUUAACUUGAAGUCCGAACUCUCACUUUCUAACCCUGUGCAUUUGUUUUGGCUAGUAGGAUAUUUCGGUAUCCGAACACCUCUUCAUUUACAAACACUAAGUCUAUGAAUGUUUAAAUUUUAUAACAAAAUAAAACUUUCAACAACGGAUCUCUUGGCUCUCGCAUCGAUGAAGAACGCAGCGAAAUGUGAUAAGUAAUGUGAAUUGCAGAAUUCAGUGAAUCAUCGAAUCUUUGAACGCAUCUUGCACUCUCUGGUAUUCCGGAGAGUAUGCCUGUUUGAGUGUCAUGAAUUCUUCAACCCUCCCUUUUCUUAGUGAAUUGAGAGGUGUUUGGAUUCUGAGUGUUGCUCCUAACCCGAGCUCAUUCGUAAUGCAUUAGCAUCCAUAUUCGAAUUUCGGAUUGACUUGGCGUAAUAGACUAUUCGCUGAGGAAUCUAACUUCGGUUAGAGCCGUGUUUGAACUAGGAAGCUACUAAUCUAGCUUAGUCUACCUUUAGAUUAGACCUCAAAUCAGGCAGGAUUACCCGCUGAACUUAAGCAUAUCAAUAAGCGGAGGAAAAG
RNAcentral lists this ribosomal RNA (611 nucleotides) under Rhodosporidiobolus fluvialis. RNAcentral's name for it is "eukaryotic LSU rRNA". The stretch from base 184 to 337 matches the Rfam family "5.8S ribosomal RNA". Lineage: Eukaryota; Fungi; Basidiomycota; Microbotryomycetes; Sporidiobolales; Sporidiobolaceae. The record is from RNAcentral.